AUUGAACGCUGGCGGCAUGCCUUACACAUGCAAGUCGAACGGUAACAGGGAGCUUGCUCCGCUGACGAGUGGCGAACGGGUGAGUAAUACAUCGGAACGUGCCCAGUAAUGGGGGAUAGCUCGGCGAAAGCCGGAUUAAUACCGCAUACGCCCUGAGGGGGAAAGUGGGGGAUCGCAAGACCUCACGUUAUUGGAGCGGCCGAUGGCUGAUUAACUAGUUGGUAGGGUAAAGGCCUACCAAGGCGACGAUCAGUAGCUGGUCUGAGAGGACGAUCAGCCACACUGGGACUGAGACACGGCCCAGACUCCUACGGGAGGCAGCAGUGGGGAAUUUUGGACAAUGGGGGAAACCCUGAUCCAGCAAUGCCGCGUGUGCGAAGAAGGCCUUCGGGUUGUAAAGCACUUUUGUCAGGGAAGAAAUCCCUUGGGUUAAUACCUCGGGGGGAUGACGGUACCUGAAGAAUAAGCACCGGCUAACUACGUGCCAGCCGCCGCGGUAA
This 500-nucleotide ribosomal RNA is filed under the name uncultured bacterium. Its description in RNAcentral is "partial 16S ribosomal RNA". It matches the Rfam family "Bacterial small subunit ribosomal RNA", at positions 30 to 523 of the family's 1533-position model. The record is from RNAcentral.